This 271-nucleotide ribosomal RNA is filed under the name uncultured bacterium. RNAcentral's name for it is "partial 16S ribosomal RNA". It matches the Rfam family "Bacterial small subunit ribosomal RNA", at positions 524 to 794 of the family's 1533-position model. The record is from RNAcentral.
UACGUAGGGUGCAAGCGUUAAUCGGAAUUACUGGGCGUAAAGCGUGCGCAGGCGGUUUUGUAAGCCAGACGUGAAAUCCCCGGGCUUAACCUGGGAACUGCGUUUGGAACUGCAAGGCUAGAGUGCGGCAGAGGAAGGUGGAAUUCCUGGUGUAGCAGUGAAAUGCGUAGAUAUCAGGAGGAACACCGAUGGCGAAGGCAGCCUUCUGGGCUAGCACUGACGCUCAUGCACGAAAGCGUGGGGAGCAAACAGGAUUAGAAACCCGUGUAGU